GAUGAACGCUGGCGGCGUGCUUAACACAUGCAAGUCGAACGGAAAGGCCCAAGCUUGCUUGGGUACUCGAGUGGCGAACGGGUGAGUAACACGUGGGUGAUCUGCCCUGCACUUCGGGAUAAGCCUGGGAAACUGGGUCUAAUACCGGAUAGGACCACUUCUUGGAUGUUGUGGUGGAAAGUUUUUUCGGUGUGGGAUGAGCUCGCGGCCUAUCAGCUUGUUGGUGGGGUAAUGGCCUACCAAGGCGUCGACGGGUAGCCGGCCUGAGAGGGUGUACGGCCACAUUGGGACUGAGAUACGGCCCAGACUCCUACGGGAGGCAGCAGUGGGGAAUAUUGCACAAUGGGCGCAAGCCUGAUGCAGCGACGCCGCGUGGGGGAUGACGGCCUUCGGGUUGUAAACUCCUUUCGCUAGGGACGAAGCGUUUUGUGACGGUACCUGGAGAAGAAGCACCGGCGAACUACGU
This 466-nucleotide ribosomal RNA is filed under the name uncultured bacterium. RNAcentral's name for it is "partial 16S ribosomal RNA". It matches the Rfam family "Bacterial small subunit ribosomal RNA", at positions 28 to 506 of the family's 1533-position model. The record is from RNAcentral.